UCAGUGCAUCCAGCUGCAGGAAGCAGAAUUACACGUCCUGUGGCCCUGCAGUUGGGUGAUCCUCUCUCUAAUAAUAUUAGAGAUUGUUCUAAUUAUAAAUUUAAACUAAAAAAAGCAUCAGUGAACAAAUGUUUCACUUUUUAUUGAAAAUCGUAACUUACGUCUCCAGAGGGGGAAUCAAGAUUCCCACUGAGCCAUCUCAACGAAGAUCAUCAGUUUGUAGGUCAAAGGAAGAGAAUAAAGUAUGGAGUACAGGGUUGUUACCAC
This is a long non-coding RNA of Nothoprocta perdicaria, 267 nucleotides long. RefSeq lists it as uncharacterized. The record is from RefSeq and is a predicted model, not a curated record. The transcript has 3 exons. Lineage: Eukaryota; Metazoa; Chordata; Aves; Tinamiformes; Tinamidae.